UACUGAGUGGCAGACGGGUGAGUAACAUGUGGGAAUCUGCCUUGUGGUUCAGGACAACAUUGGGAAACCGAUGCUAAUACUGGAUAAGCCCUUACGGGGAAAGUUUUAAUGCCAUAAGAUGAGCCCGCAUUUGAUUAGUUAGUUGGUGAGGUAAUGGCUCACCAAGACAAUGAUCAAUAGCUGAUCUGAGAAGAUGAUCAGCCACACUGGGACUGAGACACGGCCCAGACUCCUACGGGAGGCAGCAGUGGGGAAUCUUGCACAAUGGAGGAAACUCUGAUGCAGCGAUGCCGCGUGAGUGAAGAAGGCCUUUGGGUUGUAAAGCUCUUUUGUAGGGGAAGAUAAUGACUGUACCCUAAGAAUAAGGUCCGGCUAACUUCGUGCCAGCAGCCGCGGUAAUACGAAGGGACCUAGCGUAGUUCGGAAUUACUGGGCGUAAAGCGCGCGUAGGCCGUUGAGUUAGUUAAUUGUGAAAUCCCAAAGCUUAACUUUGGAACUG
Molecule: ribosomal RNA, 499 nt
Filed under: uncultured Pelagibacterales bacterium
Lineage: Bacteria; Pseudomonadati; Pseudomonadota; Alphaproteobacteria; Candidatus Pelagibacterales
Description: bacterial SSU rRNA
Rfam family: Bacterial small subunit ribosomal RNA
Source: RNAcentral